GCAGACCAGGAAGGCUGGAUCAAAGUGUCCAGCUGGUAAAAGAAGAGUCAGCUGUAGGGCCUGAUCCUCUGGUAUUAGCUGCCCAGGGGGAGAGCAGUGAGAUGAGCUCUCCCGGUGGGUAAUAAAAUGAGUCUAGAAGGGAGGAAGCAGGAUGUAUAAAGCCCAGGAGCCUGAUCUGUUUCUGAGAUCAAACAGAGCAGCAUUGUACCGGGGUGUGGAGCUGAUGUCAGCGUCUAGAAUGCUGGUCGGAAUCGCCCUGGUUACGCAGCUGGACCGGAAUAAGGCAAAUAUUCUUCAGCAUUUUCUGGACAUUCAUUCCAAAUAACUAACCGACAAAGAUUUACAGAAAAUCUUCCAUACCGUGGACCCAACCCAUGAGAAGCAAAAAAGAGAAAGAACAACAAAAGAAUAGCUGCCAUUUUUUACGUGUUUUUUUUUUUUUUAUCUUUUAAGAACUUAAAUAGGCUUUCAAAUAUUGUAUUUCAUCUCAUUCAAUCCAAAGUAUUACUCUUCUUUUACAGAUAAGUAAACUGAAGAGCAUAUGACCCGGAUCACAUGGUUUAUGAGCGACUGAGUUGGGGACUCCAGUUCUCUUACAUCUCUAUUCCUCUGCCUACAAAGACUAGGGUUAAUUUUUUUUUAUAAAAGUCAUUUUAUUUAUUGGGUGCACAAUGGGGCAUGUGGAAUCAGAGUUCUCUGACCAGGGAUUGAACCCAUGCCCCCUGCAUUGGAAACACAGUUAUAACCACUGGACAGCUAGGGAGUUUUAAAUAAAUGUACAGCAUAUAAUGUAAUGUUCUUACAAUAUUAAAAAUGUUAAAGAAUGUCUUUUACAGACUCCUGGGUAAAAAAAAAAUUGGAAUUAAUUGCUUACAUUCUUGUAUACCAGAUCUCCUGUGAAAGGACCCAGAGAAGAAGAAACAAAGAAAAAACUUUGCUGGCAGGGAGGACAAGCACAGGAAAGUGUGCCUUCCACAAGUAGAAAGCCUGGGGCCAUCCUGUUCAACCUGGUGCUGCUGGGACCAGAGAAAGGGAGACGCUAAAGGCCAUCUCACUGCUCUGACUUGUGAAGUCCACGGAUCCAGGAAGUAAGUGGCAUAGAGACUGAGGCCAGGCCCCCCAAACCUGACUGCCAUCCCUAUUUCAGCUGUGAAGCUUGGAGGGCCAGAGGCAAUGAUGAAAAGGCUGCUGCCCAGAGAAGGCAGAGAUUUACAGGCAAGUUAAGGAAACUUAGAAAGCAACAGAUAAUUAAAUUUUUCAUUAAAAACAAUAAAGAGUAGACUGGACAUAGCAAAAAAGUCAAAAUCAGUGGUACAGAAGAGAAACUCUGUCAUGGGGUAUGGAGAAAAAAGACAAAGUGAUUGAAAUAAGAGAAAAGAUAAUUUGGAUUAAAAGAACUGAUAAGACAGAAAAUAUAGAUAAGAGAUGUUGCUGGGAAAAACAAAAGAGAACAGAAUAAAUAAAACAAAAUAACAAAAAACUAUAAAAGAAUAAAACUUUCCUGAGCUGAUACAACCAUAAGGGUCAGAGUCAGCUGCCUGGGACAGAAAUGAAGUUUAUAAACAUUAAAUUUCAAGAGAGUCUAAGAAAUAUGGGUUUUAUUCCAAAUAGCUAUGUGCAUAUGAAAAUCAAGAAUUAGGUUGCUAAGAAGGGAAAUGUGCCUUUAGGGGAAACAUUACCAACGUCUGUCAUAAUUGGAAUACUGAAUAUUUGCAGAUCAAAAGGUCCCACUGAGUACCUGGCAAAUUACCUCAAAGAUUUCAAUUACUAGAUACAUUCAAGUUCAGGAACAAUAGAAGAAUUUUACAAUUAUCCAGGCCUCAGAUAGCCCUGCAACAUUAAAGAUCAAAUGACAAUAGAGAAAUAUCUAUAGUUUUGGGUGCAAAAGUUUGCCAGUUAAGACUUGUAAGCUCAUCCAAGUUGUCAUUCAUGUCUGAAGGAACUAUAAGAAGAUUUCUAGCUACUCAGAGACUCUUAAAGUAAGUCACUCACAUCCUUCUUGAAAAAACGUACUUAAGUUACACUCCAGCCAACUGAGAUUAAUCAAAAUAAAGAAUGGAGAAGUUCUGAUGAAAUGGAACUCAUGGUGAUUACUAAAACCAUUUAAGUAUAUCACAUAAAAUAAUGUUAAAACAUGAUUGUAAAAGAGUUUUUAAAAUACAAAAUAAUAAUUAUUGAAUGAGAAAAUAAUGUUAAGAAUAACAUCUGGUAUACCUGUGGCUGAUUUAUCUUGAUGUAUGGCAAAAGCCAUAACAAUAUUGUAAAAUAAUUAUCCUCUAAUUAAAAAAAAAUAAUAUCUGGUA
This is a long non-coding RNA of Bubalus bubalis (water buffalo), 2303 nucleotides long. RefSeq lists it as uncharacterized. The transcript has 2 exons. Lineage: Eukaryota; Metazoa; Chordata; Mammalia; Artiodactyla; Bovidae. The record is from RefSeq and is a predicted model, not a curated record.